GCCAGGCAUGAGCGCCAACCCUCUUUUUGGAAAACAAGGAGGACCACACCCGACACCAGAUCUGGAUCUGGUAGAGGCAGAGAGCAAAGAUCGCUUCAGGUUGUGGAGUCAGAGCAGUGCCUGAAAUGAGUUUGUGCCCCUUCGCUGUCAAGGAAAAAUGGCUGACAAGACGCCUGGUUGUAUUCUCAGCUCCGGAAGGGGAAUGUUACCUAGCGAGGAGAAUGACAGGGAACUUGGCUUCAGAUUUCAGGGCCCAAAACUGAGACCUGGGGGCGGCCCCUGGUGAUGUCACGAUGGGAGGCCCUAGUGAUGUCUAUGCGAUAAUUUGCAGCCAGCUCCAGCUAGGCUGAAGCUUGUAAACCGCAUGCACAGUCUUCUUAAUUUUUUAAAAAAUAUUAUUAUUAA
Non-coding RNA from Podarcis muralis (Common wall lizard), 405 nucleotides. The record is from RefSeq and is a predicted model, not a curated record. NCBI's taxonomy places the organism in Eukaryota, Metazoa, Chordata, Lepidosauria, Squamata, Lacertidae.